AGCGAACGCUGGCGGCAGGCUUAACACAUGCAAGUCGAGCGGGCAUCUUCGGAUGUCAGCGGCAGACGGGUGAGUAACACGUGGGAACGUACCCUUCGGUUCGGAACAACUCUGGGAAACUGGAGCUAAUACCGGAUACGCCCCUAUGGGGAAAGGUUUACUGCCGAAGGAUCGGCCCGCGUCUGAUUAGCUAGUUGGUGGGGUAACGGCCUACCAAGGCGACGAUCAGUAGCUGGUCUGAGAGGAUGAUCAGCCACACUGGGACUGAGACACGGCCCAGACUCCUACGGGAGGCAGCAGUGGGGAAUAUUGGACAAUGGGCGCAAGCCUGAUCCAGCCAUGCCGCGUGAGUGAUGAAGGCCUUAGGGUUGUAAAGCUCUUUUGUCCGGGACGAUAAUGACGGUACCGGAAGAAUAAGCCCCGGCUAACUUCGUG
Molecule: ribosomal RNA, 435 nt
Filed under: uncultured bacterium
Lineage: Bacteria
Description: partial 16S ribosomal RNA
Rfam family: Bacterial small subunit ribosomal RNA
Source: RNAcentral